Molecule: ribosomal RNA, 424 nt
Filed under: Mycobacterium sp. FI-06097
Lineage: Bacteria; Bacillati; Actinomycetota; Actinomycetes; Mycobacteriales; Mycobacteriaceae
Description: bacterial SSU rRNA
Rfam family: Bacterial small subunit ribosomal RNA
Source: RNAcentral
ACACAUGCAAGUCGAACGGAAAGGCCCUUUCGGGGGUAGCUCGAGUGGCGAACGGGUGAGUAACACGUGGGUGAUCUGCCCUGCACUCUGGGAUAAGCCUGGGAAACUGGGUCUAAUACUGGAUAGGACCAUGGGAUGCAUGUUCUGUGGUGGAAAGCUUUUGCGGUGUGGGAUGGGCCCGCGGCCUAUCAGCUUGUUGGUGGGGUGAUGGCCUACCAAGGCGACGACGGGUAGCCGGCCUGAGAGGGUGUCCGGCCACACUGGGACUGAGAUACGGCCCAGACUCCUACGGGAGGCAGCAGUGGGGAAUAUUGCACAAUGGGCGCAAGCCUGAUGCAGCGACGCCGCGUGGGGGAUGACGGCCUUCGGGUUGUAAACCUCUUUCAGUAUCGGCGAAGCUUGCGGGUUUUCUCGCAGGUGACGG